CUAAAACAUUUACUAAAAAUAAUAUUACAACUAUUUGAAUAAAAUAAAAAUAUUCAAUAAAAUAUUCUAAUUUCUUGUAAAACAAUAUUUAUAGAGUCAUCGGUAAUUAAUUUUUUUUGUAAUGUAAAAGCUAAAAAAAUUCAUACGUACUACAAUACAGAUAACCGGGAUAUGAAAUUUACUUUACAGUGACUCGUGGGCCCACAAGGAACAAAAGUGCACAAAGGUAGUAAACCUACAGUUUUUGGAGUAGUAAAGCCGACUAUAGCCUUCGACGAUAUUACCUAUCUACACACUAUCCUGAGCCUGAAAUGGGUGGAAAUGAGGGUGGUGAGAUUAUAUAAUCCCAGUGAGUAAACAAAUACCAUCUAAAAUAUCUAAAGCCGAGUAAAUAGAUACAAUUAAAAUAAAUCAUCAUACUAUAAUUUCAUUACCUUUCAACUUAUUUCAACCAAAUAAACAACUAGGCUUAUGAUUUCCUGAAAGCUUGGCUCGUGCCAAAAAUCAUUCUCAUACUCAGUUAUCAGGGAUGCCUUGAUCGAGGGCUAUAUCAAUCGAGUCCGUCAAGGUUGUUAAAAAGUCAUGUACGCAUAAAUUAUGUUUUUAUUUUGAAAACAUAACCGUUCCUUGGCGUUGGCUGAGUUCACCCUCACGUGGUGGUUUGGCGCAAAGUGAAUUCUAAAAGUGUUAGCCUCAGGAGUUUUCCACCUGCGCCUCUCAUAUUGAGGUAAGAUAUAACAGGGUUUACCGUGCCCCUCUAAUAGGCUGGUCCACGAAAACCCGCCCACUGCAGUAAGCUCAUCAUUAUCCCACCAAUCACUAAAAUUCAAUAACAUGAUAUGGCAAUUAUUGUAAUUCACAGCCUUUCAAGGCUAAAUACACAGUUCAUAUAUUUCAACACAAAUACCAAUUCAGCCAUUCAUACAAAUAUUGUCAUAAGCCAGUCAAUUCAAACCAUGAAUUUACAACACCUUAAGUGGUCUCCAGUUACUCUAUUUUCAAAGUCAUCAUUCAAUUUCAAGACAAUUUAUAAAAUCAUUUUAUUUAAACACGUUUUGUUUGUAAAUAGAAAGAUUUACCAUUUAAACUCAUUUUCCAUAAAAUCCACAAAAUCGAAUAAAAAUCACUCUAGAUAAUUAAGACGAUAGUAAGGUUACUCACUGUACUAGGAGUUCGAUAUACUCCUAUUCCCAGUCUUCGGGCACAAUCUCUUUACCUUUAUUAGAG
This 1227-nucleotide long non-coding RNA is filed under the name Theobroma cacao (cacao). RNAcentral's name for it is "long non-coding RNA (TCAC_LNC006026)". Lineage: Eukaryota; Viridiplantae; Streptophyta; Magnoliopsida; Malvales; Malvaceae. The record is from RNAcentral.